AGCAGCCGCGGUAAUUCCAGCUCCAAUAGCGUAUAUUAAAGUUGUUGCAGUUAAAAAGCUCGUAGUUGAAUUUCGGGGUUCUUCCGUUGGUCAGGCUAACAAGUCUGUACUAGCGUGUAGAAUCUCUACCUUCUGGGGAACCAUCAUGUUAUUAAUUUAGCGUGGUGGGAAACCAGGACCUUUACCUUGAAAAAUUAGAGUGUUCAAAGCAGGCUUACGUCUGAAUACAUUAGCAUGGAAUAAUAAAAUAGGACGGUGGUCCUGUUUUGUUGGUUUCUGAAUCACCGUAAUGAUUAAUAGGGAUAGUUGGGGGCAUUAGUAUUCAAUUGUCAGAGGUGAAAUUCUUGGAUUUAUUGAAGACUAACUUCUGCGAAAGCAUUUGCCAAGGAUGUUUUCAUUAAUCAAGAACGAAAGUUAGGGGAUCGAAGACGAUCAGAUACCGUCGUAGUCUUAACCAUAAACUAUGCCGACUAGGGAUCGGACGAUGUUAAAUUUUAUGACUCGUUCGCGCCUUAGGGAA
Molecule: ribosomal RNA, 520 nt
Filed under: uncultured Scutellospora
Lineage: Eukaryota; Fungi; Glomeromycota; Glomeromycetes; Diversisporales; Gigasporaceae
Description: SSU rRNA
Rfam family: Eukaryotic small subunit ribosomal RNA
Source: RNAcentral